This 27-nucleotide small RNA is filed under the name Bombyx mori (domestic silkworm). RNAcentral describes it as "ovarian small RNA-16076". The record is from RNAcentral. Lineage: Eukaryota; Metazoa; Arthropoda; Insecta; Lepidoptera; Bombycidae.
GAUAUAGGUGUAUUAUGCAGAGUGUUG